UUCCGGUUGAUCCUGCCGGAGGCUACCGCUAUUGGAGUUCGAUUAAGCCAUGCGAGUCGCGAGAAAUUAGAUUCUCGGCGUACCGCUCAGUAACACGUGGGUAACCUGCCCUAUGCUGGAUAAUAACCUCGGGAAACUGAGAAUAAUGAUCCAUAGUUCACUACGCCUGGAACGGUGAGUGGACGAAAGCUCCGGCGGCAUAGGAUGGGCCUGCGGCGUAUCAGGUUGUAGGGGGUGUAACGUACCCUCUAGCCAUCUACGCGUACGGGUGUUGGGAGACAUAGCCCGGAGAUGGAUUCUGAGACACGAAUCCAGACCCUACGGGGUGCAGCAGGCGCGAAAACUUGGCAAUGCGAGAAAUCGUGACCAGGGAACUCCAAGUGCAUCGGGUAAGACCGGUGCUUUUCUUGACUCUAAAUAGGUCUUGGAAUAAGGGGUGGGUAAGGACGGUGCCAGCCGCCGCGGUAAUACCGGCGCCUCAAGUGGUAGUCGCUUUUAUUGGGCCUAAAACGUCCGUAGCCGGUCUGAUACAUUCGUGGGUAAAUCAACCAGCUCAACUGGUUGAAUUCUGCGAGGACGGUCAGACUUGGGACCGGGAGAGGUGUGGGGUACGCUCAGGGUAGGGGUAAAAUCCUGUCAUCCUGAGCGGACCACCUGUUGCGAAGGCGCCACACUAGAACGGAUCCGACGGUCAGGGACGAAGCCUAGGGGCACGAACCGGAUUAGAUACCCGGGUAGUCCUAGGUGUAAACGCUGUGGACUUGAU
Molecule: ribosomal RNA, 766 nt
Filed under: uncultured Candidatus Poseidoniales archaeon
Lineage: Archaea; Methanobacteriati; Thermoplasmatota; Candidatus Poseidoniia; Candidatus Poseidoniales
Description: bacterial SSU rRNA
Rfam family: Archaeal small subunit ribosomal RNA
Source: RNAcentral